Non-coding RNA from Strongyloides papillosus, 72 nucleotides. NCBI's taxonomy places the organism in Eukaryota, Metazoa, Nematoda, Chromadorea, Rhabditida, Strongyloididae. The record is from Rfam.
UCCCAUGUAGUCUAGUGGUUAUGAUUUGCGGCUCUCACCCGCAAGGCCCGGGUUCGAUUCCCGGCAUGGGAA